RNAcentral lists this ribosomal RNA (483 nucleotides) under uncultured bacterium. Its description in RNAcentral is "bacterial SSU rRNA". It matches the Rfam family "Bacterial small subunit ribosomal RNA", at positions 28 to 507 of the family's 1533-position model. The record is from RNAcentral.
GAUGAACGCUAGCGGCAGGCCUAACACAUGCAAGUCGAGGGGCAUCGCGGUGCAGCAAUGCACUGGCGGCGACCGGCGUACGGGUGCGUAACGCGUAUGCAACCUGCCCCGCACCGGGGGAUAGCCCGCCGAAAGGCGGAUUAAUACCCCAUGGUCCCGGGGGCCCGCAUGGGCAUCCGGGUAAAGCCUUGGCGGUGCGGGAUGGGCAUGCGUGCCAUUAGCUGGCUGGUGGGGUAACGGCCCACCAGGGCAACGAUGGCUAGGGGGUCUGAGAGGAUGGUCCCCCACACUGGUACUGAGACACGGACCAGACUCCUACGGGAGGCAGCAGUGAGGAAUAUUGGUCAAUGGGCGGAAGCCUGAACCAGCCAUGCCGCGUGCGGGAUGAAGGCCCUACGGGUUGUAAACCGCUUUUCCCCGGGAAGAAUAACCCCGAUGAGUCGGGGAUGCCGGUACCGGGGAUAAGGAUCGGCUAACUCCGUG